This 756-nucleotide ribosomal RNA is filed under the name uncultured bacterium. RNAcentral describes it as "bacterial SSU rRNA". It matches the Rfam family "Bacterial small subunit ribosomal RNA", at positions 1 to 752 of the family's 1533-position model. The record is from RNAcentral.
UAGAGUUUGAUCCUGGCUCAGAUUGAACGCUGGCGGCAGGCCUAACACAUGCAAGUCGGACGGUAGCACAGAGGAGCUUGCUCCUUGGGUGACGAGUGGCGGACGGGUGAGUAAUGUCUGGGGAUCUGCCCGAUAGAGGGGGAUAACCACUGGAAACGGUGGCUAAUACCGCAUAACGUCGCAAGACCAAAGAGGGGGACCUUCGGGCCUCUCACUAUCGGAUGAACCCAGAUGGGAUUAGCUAGUAGGCGGGGUAAUGGCCCACCUAGGCGACGAUCCCUAGCUGGUCUGAGAGGAUGACCAGCCACACUGGAACUGAGACACGGUCCAGACUCCUACGGGAGGCAGCAGUGGGGAAUAUUGCACAAUGGGCGCAAGCCUGAUGCAGCCAUGCCGCGUGUAUGAAGAAGGCCUUCGGGUUGUAAAGUACUUUCAGCGGGGAGGAAGGCGACGGGGUUAAUAACCUUAUCGAUUGACGUUACCCGCAGAAGAAGCACCGGCUAACUCCGUGCCAGCAGCCGCGGUAAUACGGAGGGUGCAAGCGUUAAUCGGAAUUACUGGGCGUAAAGCGCACGCAGGCGGUCUGUUAAGUCAGAUGUGAAAUCCCCGGGCUUAACCUGGGAACUGCAUUUGAAACUGGCAGGCUUGAGUCUUGUAGAGGGGGGUAGAAUUCCAGGUGUAGCGGUGAAAUGCGUAGAGAUCUGGAGGAAUACCGGUGGCGAAGGCGGCCCCCUGGACAAAGACUGACGCUCAGGU